RNAcentral lists this unclassified non-coding RNA (364 nucleotides) under Hevea brasiliensis (rubber tree). The record is from RNAcentral. Lineage: Eukaryota; Viridiplantae; Streptophyta; Magnoliopsida; Malpighiales; Euphorbiaceae.
AGAGAGAAGAAAGAAAGGGAUGGCACUAGAGGCUGUGGUGUAUCAACAAGACCUGUUUGGUCACAGUAGCAAAGAACUCUACAAUUUGCUAGGAGGGAGUUGGAGCUAUGAUGACUUUAGCCUGGAAAAGGAAGAUUAUGAUAAAGCUUGCUCUUUUAAUAGUUUUCUCGAGAAUCAAUCAGAAAAUUUCCUUCAUGGGGAUUGGAAGUACUCUUCUUCACCACCACCUUCCGUGUUCUCUCAUUUCAGUGAAAUGCGACAAAUUAACACAUCCCCAGAUGCUGAAAAUGCCAAAAAUGGACUAACUACUGCUGCUUCUGCUACUGAUCACUUACUGGAUCACUCUCCCUCAUCCACGAUGCCU